This 63-nucleotide transfer RNA is filed under the name Phrynocephalus scutellatus. RNAcentral describes it as "tRNA-Cys". Lineage: Eukaryota; Metazoa; Chordata; Lepidosauria; Squamata; Agamidae. The record is from RNAcentral.
GGCCUCUAAUAGAGAUGCUAAAUUGCAAAUUUAGCUUUGAAGAUGUAAGUUUUCAGAGGCUUA